RNAcentral lists this ribosomal RNA (628 nucleotides) under Listeria monocytogenes. RNAcentral describes it as "bacterial SSU rRNA". It matches the Rfam family "Bacterial small subunit ribosomal RNA", at positions 165 to 779 of the family's 1533-position model. Lineage: Bacteria; Bacillati; Bacillota; Bacilli; Caryophanales; Listeriaceae. The record is from RNAcentral.
AAUACCGAAUGAUAGAAUGUGGCGCAUGCCACGCUUUUGAAAGAUGGUUUCGGCUAUCGCUUACAGAUGGGCCCGCGGUGCAUUAGCUAGUUGGUAGGGUAAUGGCCUACCAAGGCAACGAUGCAUAGCCGACCUGAGAGGGUGAUCGGCCACACUGGGACUGAGACACGGCCCAGACUCCUACGGGAGGCAGCAGUAGGGAAUCUUCCGCAAUGGACGAAAGUCUGACGGAGCAACGCCGCGUGUAUGAAGAAGGUUUUCGGAUCGUAAAGUACUGUUGUUAGAGAAGAACAAGGAUAAGAGUAACUGCUUGUCCCUUGACGGUAUCUAACCAGAAAGCCACGGCUAACUACGUGCCAGCAGCCGCGGUAAUACGUAGGUGGCAAGCGUUGUCCGGAUUUAUUGGGCGUAAAGCGCGCGCAGGCGGUCUUUUAAGUCUGAUGUGAAAGCCCCCGGCUUAACCGGGGAGGGUCAUUGGAAACUGGAAGACUGGAGUGCAGAAGAGGAGAGUGGAAUUCCACGUGUAGCGGUGAAAUGCGUAGAUAUGUGGAGGAACACCAGUGGCGAAGGCGACUCUCUGGUCUGUAACUGACGCUGAGGCGCGAAAGCGUGGGGAGCAAACAGGAUU